UUUUGACGUUUCCUCGAGAGAAACAUCCAAAUUUUCAUUUUCAUCGAUUCGAAUGAAUUGCAACCCUAGUAUCGAUAGAGAGUAUAUCGAUAAUCAACCAGCGGCACCUCUACAUUUCAGUAGCGCCGCCAUGUCUGUGUGAACGUGUGCAAACGCAGGAAGAAAAAAAAAUGAAGAGCAAUACAUACGCAAAAAUCGAUCAAACGCAGUUUUUUUUUUUAAUGUAAAUCUGCCGUCAUUAGCAUAAUGCACUAAAUGGCGUUACUGCCAAAAGAUUUGAACAUGACGCGCUCUUUCAAGCCGCAUUUUUUUCCCGAAUUCGGAUGAAUAUUUUAGUGAAAACACUUCUUCCGGCUAAAAACCUAGCCGCUAAGCUGGACCCUAACUCACCUCGUGUUGUAGAAUAUCCCAGUAGUUAGAAUAAAUUUUUAAUUAUAUUUUUCAACCAAAGAAGCAACACA
Molecule: long non-coding RNA, 461 nt
Organism: Drosophila pseudoobscura
Lineage: Eukaryota; Metazoa; Arthropoda; Insecta; Diptera; Drosophilidae
Exons: 2
Source: RefSeq, a predicted model, not a curated record